GUAUUGAUUGCGUGUGACCGCAAAGAUAACAUUCUACACUGUAUCAAGUUUUGUGUGAAAACGUGAGCUCCUUUUGCAAAAGAAGACCCACGCGGUGAUGCACAAAGGGGUGAGAUGGAUGUGUGAGGGCACUCGGGCGUGCACAACCUUUGAAAGGUUAGCGACAGCCUUUGCACCCCCGUUUUACGAUAAUGAUCCUUCCGCAGGUUCACCUACGGAAA
This 221-nucleotide unclassified non-coding RNA is filed under the name uncultured fungus. Its description in RNAcentral is "sequence contains ITS1". Lineage: Eukaryota; Fungi. The record is from RNAcentral.